RNAcentral lists this ribosomal RNA (433 nucleotides) under uncultured bacterium. Its description in RNAcentral is "partial 16S ribosomal RNA". It matches the Rfam family "Bacterial small subunit ribosomal RNA", at positions 29 to 507 of the family's 1533-position model. The record is from RNAcentral.
AACGAACGCUGGCGGCAUGCCUAACACAUGCAAGUCGAACGAAACCUUCGGGUCUAGUGGCGCACGGGUGCGUAACGCGUGGGAACCUGCCCUUAGGUUCGGAAUAACUCCCCGAAAGGGGUGCUAAUACCGGAUCAUGUCUUCGGACCAAAGAUUUAUCGCCUUUGGAUGGGCCCGCGUUGGAUUAGAUAGUUGGUAGGGUAAAAGCCUACCAAGGCGACGAUCCAUAGCUGGUCUGAGAGGAUGAUCAGCCACACUGGGACUGAGACACGGCCCAGACUCCUACGGGAGGGAGCAGUGGGGAAUAUUGGACAAUGGGCGAAAGCCUGAUCCAGCAAUGCCGGGUGAGUGAUGAAGGCCUUAGGGUUGUAAAGCUCUUUUACCCGGGAUGAUAAUGACAGUACCGGGAGAAUAAGCUCCGGCUAACUCCGUG